AUUGAACGCUGGCGGCAUGCUUUACACAUGCAAGUCGAACGGUAACAGGCCGCAAGGUGCUGACGAGUGGCGAACGGGUGAGUAAUGCAUCGGAACGUGCCCAGUCGUGGGGGAUAACGCAGCGAAAGCUGCGCUAAUACCGCAUACGAUCUAUGGAUGAAAGCGGGGGACCGUAAGGCCUCGCGCGAUUGGAGCGGCCGAUGUCAGAUUAGGUAGUUGGUGGGGUAAAGGCUCACCAAGCCAACGAUCUGUAGCUGGUCUGAGAGGACGACCAGCCACACUGGGACUGAGACACGGCCCAGACUCCUACGGGAGGCAGCAGUGGGGGAAUAUUGGACAAU
Molecule: ribosomal RNA, 341 nt
Filed under: uncultured bacterium
Lineage: Bacteria
Description: bacterial SSU rRNA
Rfam family: Bacterial small subunit ribosomal RNA
Source: RNAcentral